UAAAAUAAGCUUCCUUGACAAAUGGUGUCGUUUUUAAUAAUGAUUUGAUUAAUGAUGGUUUGAUCAAGGUUGGUUAAUUGGUUUUUGUUUCUCUCGUAUUUGUUUUGGUUUGGUUUGCCUUGGUUCAUUUGGUUCCGUUCAGUUUGAUUUGGAUUCGUUUUGUUCAAUUUGUUUGAUUGUUGGGUGAGUCAAGAUAGUAUUCACAAUUGGUUUGUCUGUUUGGUGAGUCAAAUGUUCACAAUUUGGUUGUUUGGUGAUAAGUAGUAGUUCUAUGCGUUUUUAGCAUUUUAAAUUUAAUGAGAUUUCAUAACUUUAGUUGUAUUCAUUGAGCUAUAUUACUACAAAAGCCUUGGUUUUCGUUUCGGGUUGGUAAUCAAAGGAGCAUAGAGGUUUGGUUCGAGUUUGAGUAAGAAAGGAUCAAGAAUGAAGGCUGAAAAGGAGCAAAACAAGAGGAAAAGCACGGUUCAUGCAUUUUAGCACAGGACCGUGCGCUUUAGUAGGACUUGUGACCAAACCGUGUGCAUCGAAGAGCACGUUCCAGAGAGAUUUGCACAGGGCCGUGCGUUAUUGCACAGGACCAUGUGUUUUGGCGCA
RNAcentral lists this long non-coding RNA (594 nucleotides) under Medicago truncatula (barrel medic). RNAcentral's name for it is "long non-coding RNA (MTRU_LNC004771)". Lineage: Eukaryota; Viridiplantae; Streptophyta; Magnoliopsida; Fabales; Fabaceae. The record is from RNAcentral.